RNAcentral lists this ribosomal RNA (344 nucleotides) under uncultured Achromobacter sp. RNAcentral describes it as "bacterial SSU rRNA". It matches the Rfam family "Bacterial small subunit ribosomal RNA", at positions 1032 to 1382 of the family's 1533-position model. The record is from RNAcentral. Lineage: Bacteria; Pseudomonadati; Pseudomonadota; Betaproteobacteria; Burkholderiales; Alcaligenaceae.
UGACAGGUGGUGCAUGGUUGUCGUCAGCUCGUGUCGUGAGAUGUUGGGUUAAGUCCCGCAACGAGCGCAACCCUUGUCAUUAGUUGCUACGAAAGGGCACUCUAAUGAGACUGCCGGUGACAAACCGGAGGAAGGUGGGGAUGACGUCAAGUCCUCAUGGCCCUUAUGGGUAGGGCUUCACACGUCAUACAAUGGUCGGGACAGAGGGUCGCCAACCCGCGAGGGGGAGCCAAUCCCAGAAACCCGAUCGUAGUCCGGAUUGCAGGCUACAACUCGCCUGCAUGAAGUCGGAAUCGCUAGUAAUCGCGGAUCAGCAUGUCGCGGUGAAUACGUUCCCGGGUCUU